CUAGGCGAUCCCGUCCGGCUGUAAUCUGGAUGGGUGUGUGUGUCCGUGUAUGUGUUUUAAGCGCAGAAAGAGCAAAGGUAUGUUCUGAAUCACUUAACUGCUUUUUUUUCACUUUAAAUUUGAUAUUGACUGAAGAAAAUAAUGCCCCGAACAACCUAUAAUUACAAAGCUAAUAUAAAAAAGUGGGAGGGGGGAAUGCGCUGGAUUCUCUUAUGCCAACAUUCAUACAGUGAUUCAUUUCGAUCAAUGAGGAAAUAGUAUCUUCAUACCUCUUCUCUUUGAUCUGCUUCCAGAUAAGGAAUAAACAGAUUGAUGUGCAUUCAAACAUUUCAGCAGCUUCCCAGGGACCCGAUCCAGCUGUAAGCAUGGGUGCAAGUUUUCACAUGUACGGACAACUAGUGGCCUCAGAUGCGGCUGCUGAUUCCGGUUUACUCACAUCCAAAAAAGGACAGAAGUCAGUUCCGUUGAGCUUGAAUUGCUGCGCAAUGCAGAUGAGUUGAAGGCUUCCUAUAUGUGUGAUUGUCUUUUGCUGGAUUGCAGCAUGUUUCUCUCGCAGAUAUACUUACUGAACAAAGGGGUGACAGGAUUUUUUGUAUUUUGAGAUAUUACAAUUUUUGCAACUGACCAAAGGCUGCUUUGUUUGUCGCUUAAUGUAAAAUAUUUUGGGCUAUAAUUCCCAUCAACCUCAGCCAGGGAAUGCUGCCUUAAACAUUAUCCCUCUAUAUAUGCAGUGCUUUUUUCCUG
Molecule: non-coding RNA, 744 nt
Organism: Podarcis lilfordi (Lilford's wall lizard)
Lineage: Eukaryota; Metazoa; Chordata; Lepidosauria; Squamata; Lacertidae
Source: the annotation of a GenBank genome assembly